AGUUCGGUCCCUAUCCGUCGCAGGCGUAGGAAAUUUGAGAAGACCUGUCCUUAGUACGAGAGGACCGGGAUGGACGUACCUCUGGUGUACCAGGUGUCCUGCCAAGGGCAUGGCUGGGUAGCUAUGUACGGAAUGGAUAAGCGCUGAAAGCAUCUAAGCGCGAAGCCAACUUCAAGAUAAGAUUUCCCACCGCAAGGGUAAGACCCCAGAAAGACUAUCUG
RNAcentral lists this ribosomal RNA (221 nucleotides) under Clostridioides difficile. RNAcentral describes it as "partial 23S ribosomal RNA". It matches the Rfam family "Bacterial large subunit ribosomal RNA", at positions 2628 to 2851 of the family's 2925-position model. Lineage: Bacteria; Bacillati; Bacillota; Clostridia; Peptostreptococcales; Peptostreptococcaceae. The record is from RNAcentral.